GACAGAGGGUGCAAACGUUGUUCGGAAUUACUGGGCGUAAAGCGUGUGUAGGCGGUCUGCUAAGUCGGGUGUGAAAGCCCUGGGCUCAACCCAGGAACUGCAUUUGAAACUCCCUUUCUUGAGUGUCGGAGAGGAAAGUGGAAUUCCUGGUGUAGAGGUGAAAUUCGUAGAUAUCAGGAGGAACACCGGUGGCGAAGGCGGCUUUCUGGACGACAACUGACGCUGAGACGCGAAAGCGUGGGGAGCAAACAGG
This 253-nucleotide ribosomal RNA is filed under the name uncultured bacterium. Its description in RNAcentral is "partial 16S ribosomal RNA". It matches the Rfam family "Bacterial small subunit ribosomal RNA", at positions 524 to 776 of the family's 1533-position model. The record is from RNAcentral.